Molecule: ribosomal RNA, 810 nt
Filed under: uncultured bacterium
Lineage: Bacteria
Description: bacterial SSU rRNA
Rfam family: Bacterial small subunit ribosomal RNA
Source: RNAcentral
CAUGCAAGUCGAACGGUAACGCGGGGCAACCUGGCGACGAGUGGCGAACGGGUGAGUAAUAUAUCGGAACGUGCCCAGUAGUGGGGGAUAGCCCGGCGAAAGCCGGAUUAAUACCGCAUGAGACCUGAGGGUGAAAGCGGGGGACUCGCAAGAGCCUCGCGCUAUUGGAGCGGCCGAUAUCAGAUUAGCUAGUUGGUGGGGUAAAGGCCUACCAAGGCGACGAUCUGUAGCUGGUCUGAGAGGACGACCAGCCACACUGGGACUGAGACACGGCCCAGACCCCUACGGGAGGCAGCAGUGGGGAAUUUUGGACAAUGGGCGCAAGCCUGAUCCAGCAAUGCCGCGUGCAGGAUGAAGGCCUUCGGGUUGUAAACUGCUUUUGUACGGAACGAAACGGCUCUUUCUAAUAAAGAGGGCUAAUGACGGUACCGUAAGAAUAAGCACCGGCUAACUACGUGCCAGCAGCCGCGGUAAUACGUAGGGUGCGAGCGUUAAUCGGAAUUACUGGGCGUAAAGCGUGCGCAGGCGGUUAUAUAAGACAGAUGUGAAAUCCCCGGGCUCAACCUGGGACCUGCAUUUGUGACUGUAUAGCUAGAGUACGGUAGAGGGGGAUGGAAUUCCGCGUGUAGCAGUGAAAUGCGUAGAUAUGCGGAGGAACACCGAUGGCGAAGGCAAUCCCCUGGACCUGUACUGACGCUCAUGCACGAAAGCGUGGGGAGCAAACAGGAUUAGAUACCCUGGUAGUCCACGCCCUAAACGAUGUCAACUGGUUGUUGGGUCUUCACUGACUCAGUAACGAAGCUAACGCGU